RNAcentral lists this ribosomal RNA (329 nucleotides) under uncultured bacterium. Its description in RNAcentral is "bacterial SSU rRNA". It matches the Rfam family "Bacterial small subunit ribosomal RNA", at positions 588 to 916 of the family's 1533-position model. The record is from RNAcentral.
CUAGAUGUGAAAGCCCCGGGCUUAACCUGGGAUGGUCAUUUAGAACUGGCAGACUAGAGUCUUGGAGAGGGGAUUGGAAUUCCUGGUGUAGCGGUGAAAUGCGUAGAUAUCUGGAGGAACAUCGGUGGCGAAGGCGACUCCCUGGCCAAUUACUGACGCUCAUGUGCGAAAGCGUGGGUAGCGAACAGGAUUAGAUACCCUGGUAGUCCACACCGUAAACGCUGUCUACUAGCUGUGUGUGCCUUUAAGGCGUGCGUAGCGAAGCUAACGCGCUAAGUAGACCGCCUGGGGAGUACGGCCGCAAGGUGAAAACUCAAAUGAAUUGACGG